This 489-nucleotide ribosomal RNA is filed under the name uncultured bacterium. RNAcentral's name for it is "bacterial SSU rRNA". It matches the Rfam family "Bacterial small subunit ribosomal RNA", at positions 8 to 526 of the family's 1533-position model. The record is from RNAcentral.
AGAGUUUGAUCAUGGCUCAGCCUGAACGCUGGCGGCGUGGCUAAGACAUGCAAGUCGCACGGUGUAGCAAUACACAGUGGCGAACGGGAGAGUAAUGAAUCGCUAACGUACCCCGGACUCUGGGAUAGCUAUCCGAAAGGGUAGGUAAUACCAGAUGAUACCACAGGCAGGCAUCUGCCGGUGCUCAAAGGUCCGCCGGUCUGGGAGCGGGCGAUUUCGUAUCAGCUAGUUGGUGAGGUAACGGCUCACCAAGGCGACGACGCGUAGCCGGACUGAGAGGUUGGCCGGCCUCAUUGGGACUGAGACACUGCCCAGACUCCUACGGGGGGCUGCAGUAACGAAUCUUCCGCAAUGCACGAAAGUGUGACGGAGCGACGCCGCGUGUAGGACGAAGCCCUUCGGGGUGUAAACUACUGUCAGGGGUUACCAAGUUCUGAGGAGCCCCAGAGGAAGGCACGGCUAACUCUGUGCCAGCCGCCGCGGUAAUAC